AGAGUUUGAUCAUGGCUCAGAUUGAACGCUGGCGGCAUGCCUUACACAUGCAAGUCGAACGGCAGCACGGGGGCAACCCUGGUGGCGAGUGGCGAACGGGUGAGUAACGCAUCGGAGCGUGCCCAGUAGUGGGGGAUAACCCGGCGAAAGCCGGGCUAAUACCGCAUACGACCUACGGGUGAAAGCGGGGGACCGCAAGGCCUCGCGCUAUUGGAGCGGCCGAUGUCUGAUUAGCUAGUUGGCGGGGUAAGAGCCCACCAAGGCGACGAUCAGUAGCUGGUCUGAGAGGACGACCAGCCACACUGGGACUGAGACACGGCCCAGACUCCUACGGGAGGCAGCAGUGGGGAAUUUUGGACAAUGGGCGCAAGCCUGAUCCAGCCAUGCCGCGUGCGGGAAGAAGGCCUUCGGGUCGUAAACCGCUUUUGGCAGGAACGAAACGGCGCGAGCCAAUACCUCGCGCUAAUGACGGUACCUGCAGAAUAAGCACCGGCUAACUACGUGCCAGCAGCCGCGGUAAUUC
Molecule: ribosomal RNA, 523 nt
Filed under: uncultured bacterium
Lineage: Bacteria
Description: bacterial SSU rRNA
Rfam family: Bacterial small subunit ribosomal RNA
Source: RNAcentral